RNAcentral lists this ribosomal RNA (283 nucleotides) under Escherichia coli. Its description in RNAcentral is "partial 23S ribosomal RNA". It matches the Rfam family "Bacterial large subunit ribosomal RNA", at positions 1 to 275 of the family's 2925-position model. The record is from RNAcentral. Lineage: Bacteria; Pseudomonadati; Pseudomonadota; Gammaproteobacteria; Enterobacterales; Enterobacteriaceae.
GGGUUGUGAGGUUAAGCGACUAAGCGUACACGGUGGAUGCCCUGGCAGUCAGAGGCGAUGAAGGACGUGCUAAUCUGCGAUAAGCGUCGGUAAGGUGAUAUGAACCGUUAUAACCGGCGAUUUCCGAAUGGGGAAACCCAGUGUGUUUCGACACACUAUCAUUAACUGAAUCCAUAGGUUAAUGAGGCGAACCGGGGGAACUGAAACAUCUAAGUACCCCGAGGAAAAGAAAUCAACCGAGAUUCCCCCAGUAGCGGCGAGCGAACGGGGAGCAGCCCAGAGC